UCCCGGGUGGCUCAGAGGCGAAGAGUCCACCUGCCAAGCAGGAGAUGCAGGAGACCCAGGUUCGAUCCCUGGCUUGGGAA
RNAcentral lists this transfer RNA (80 nucleotides) under Bos taurus (domestic cattle). It matches the Rfam family "tRNA". Rfam says of the family: Transfer RNA (tRNA) molecules are approximately 80 nucleotides in length. Their secondary structure includes four short double-helical elements and three loops (D, anti-codon, and T loops). RNAcentral also lists the same sequence under 3 other names. The record is from Rfam by way of RNAcentral. Lineage: Eukaryota; Metazoa; Chordata; Mammalia; Artiodactyla; Bovidae.